This 107-nucleotide ribosomal RNA is filed under the name Periophthalmus magnuspinnatus. Lineage: Eukaryota; Metazoa; Chordata; Actinopteri; Gobiiformes; Gobiidae. The record is from RNAcentral.
UGAUGCGUCAAAGCUCUUUGUCAAAGUCACAUAUCUGAAGCUAAGCAGGGCCAGGCCUGGUUAGUACUUGGAUGGGAGAGUGUUGGGAAUACCAGGGGCCACAGUGG